This is a non-coding RNA of Calypte anna (Anna's hummingbird), 111 nucleotides long. NCBI's taxonomy places the organism in Eukaryota, Metazoa, Chordata, Aves, Apodiformes, Trochilidae. The record is from Rfam.
GUGUGUUUGCUUCAUCUACACGUUUACUAAAAUUGAAACAAUACAGAGAAGAUUAGCAUGAACCCUGUGUUGAGUGUCUGAUGAUAUUCAGAUUUGUGAAGCAUUCCAUUU